GAAGUUUUUAGAUUUUGUAUUUUAGGGCUGGUGAUUGACUGGCUAUUUUAAUUUAUUUACAGUUCUCAAGGACAGGCGAAGCUCUUGUGAUGAGACCACUAACUCCAUUGUGAUCCAUGUUCUUGAAGAGAUAAUUCCUUCAUUUUCAAACAGCGGUAAAGAGCAACUGAAGGAGUUGUUGGGCGUGAAGUAGCUUCCGAAGCCUCAAGGCAUUCAUUGGAGCAUAGCUCAAGGUCUCAGCUACAUAGAAGUCUUGCUAGGUUUAGUCGAGAUGAUGUCUAGCAAGGACCAUGAUUCCAUUGUCAUUGGAAAGAGAUUCAUUUCAUUUGUGAUAUGCAUACAUGUAAGUAUAGGUUUGAAACUUCUUAAUCGACAGGUCGUAUUUAUGUUAGUUACUAGUUUAGUAACGCACGUGUGUACGCGUUAAGUAAUAGAUGCAUACAUAAAUUAUUACAAAAAAGUUGACUUAAAAUAAAUGUAAUAUUUAUUUAAAUGAUGAAAUGAAUGUUAUUAUACUGACCCGAUAACUUAAUUUCAAUAUCCUAUGAACAUGUAAAUAUGAUGAAUUUCGUUAGUAUUUUUAUCUCACCUGACAACUUUCUACGAAUGAUAUUGUUGGUUUAUAUUAUGUUCUCUUAUGUCAUUUUGACUACUUUAACAUUUUAAAAAAUUUGUUAUCGUCAUUGAUAGUCCUCUUAAAAGUGCAACAUAUAUUUGUCCAUGAAAUAUUAUUAAAAAUUUAGAUAGAGUUCCUAAUUUAUACCAAAAUAAAAAUGUAGAAGAGUAUAGAUAGAGUUCCUAAUUUGUACCAAAUAAUAAAAAGAUUUACACCCCCCAACUUUGCUUUGAAAAUCAAACUCCCCCCUCAACUUUGAACAAUAGACAUUCUCCUCCCUUUAUCCUAUGCAAUGACUAUUUCACCCUUAUUUUUUUCAAUCCUCAAUUUAUGUAAUACAUUUUUAUAUUAUAUAUAAUAUUUAUUUAUUUAUUUAAUCUAGGUAUUUAUAGAUGAUAGGUCUGUUUCUGGGCACUUCUACCCGAAGAUUUCUUAUAAAGAGCUCCGCAAUGCAACUGAUGAAUUUUCUUCUGAAAAUUUGGUUGGCUCUGGCAGUUUUGGAACUGUUUACGAGGGAACUCUUGGCUCUGAUGGAUUGGCUGUUGCAGUCAAAGUACUCAAUAUGCAGCAUCGAGGUGCUAAUAAAAGCUUCAUAGCUGUAUGCCAAGCAUUGAGAAACUUUAGGCACCGGAACCUCGUUAAAGUCAUCACAGCAUGCUCUGGUUCUGAUUAUAAGGGAAACGAGUUUAAAGCUUUGGUGUUUGAGUUCAUGCAGAAAGGGAGCUUGGAAGAGUGGCUACAUCGAAAAGGGGAAACACAAAGGAGCAGCUUGACGAUUCUUCAGAGAAUUAAUAUUGUAGUAGAUGUAGCUUCUGCACUAUAUUAUCUUCAUCAUCAGUGCCAAACGCCUAUGAUCCACUGCGAUAUAAAGCCACAGAAUGUUCCUUCUUGAUGAAGAUCUCACAGCUCGUCUUGGUGAUUUUGGUUUGGUGAGACUCAUUCCUGGAUUCAGUACUGAAGCCAACCUGAAUUACUUUAGCUCACUUGGAGUAGAGGGAACAGUUGGUUAUGCAGCUCCAGAAUAUGGCACAGGUGCUAAGGUCUCCGUUUUAGGAGAUAUAUACAGUUUUGGAAUUCUAAUAUUGGAGAUAUUCACUGGAAAAAGACCCCCAGACACAUCGUUUCAAGAAAGCUUGUCUGCAUCACUUUGUGAAGAGAGCAUUACCAAAGGGAGUGAUGGAGCUUUUAGACAAGACAGCUUUAGAUUGUGAGUUGACAGGAAAAGCAGCCAUGGAGAAAAUAUGUUGGGCCAAUCUGAAUAAAGAAAAGGUGGAAUGCUUGGUUUCCACACUUGAAAUUGGAGUUGCAUGUUCAGUGGAAUCCCCAAGAGAUAGAUUGACGAUGAGACAAGUUAACGGAAAGUUGACACUGAUCAGGGACAAGUUCUGUGGGAGCUAAAAAAGGAUCAAAGAGGAGAUUGAGGGCGUAGGUAUGAAUUGUUUAUGAAAGUUUUCAAUCUAUAAGAUACAGAAGCAACUCACAAAGAGUAAUACACAUACUCUCGGAGGGACAACACAUCUUAACUUGGAUAAUGGAACAAGCUUUCGGGAGGAGAGAGAUAGUUGCAGCACUUGCAUUGAUUUUUUCUAUCCACAGGUAAUCUAUCUAAUGUUGUCAAAUUUUAAUAAAUAUGGAAAUACCAACCAUUGACAGAUCAAAUAUUAGAGGUUGAAAAAUGAAAAGAGAGAUUGCAGAUGCGAUGCUACGAGUUGUUGAUUAGCAAACAGUUUUUUUUAUUCAAUUUGAAUUUGAUAUCAUGUAAUGUUAUAAAUUCAGGAUCACACAAGGUAUAUUAGUAACGAAAACUAAGAUUCAAAGUUACUUCCAAUUCAAAGUUACUUCCAACCUUUUGUAUCUGUUUGCUUCCAGAACAUAUUGCCAAGUUGUUAUCAACCAAGUUGAAUCAGAUUUCUCCAA
Molecule: RNA transcript, 2533 nt
Organism: Lycium ferocissimum
Lineage: Eukaryota; Viridiplantae; Streptophyta; Magnoliopsida; Solanales; Solanaceae
Gene name: LRR receptor-like serine/threonine-protein kinase EFR
Exons: 4
Source: RefSeq, a predicted model, not a curated record